Molecule: long non-coding RNA, 747 nt
Filed under: Ananas comosus (pineapple)
Lineage: Eukaryota; Viridiplantae; Streptophyta; Magnoliopsida; Poales; Bromeliaceae
Description: long non-coding RNA (ACOM_LNC042844)
Source: RNAcentral
ACACAAGUUGUUAAAAUAUCUAGCCGAAAAAUUUAACUCGUGUUUGACUUGUUUAUUAACAAGUCGGAUACUAGCUGGCUCGCGAACAACAAGUUAGAUUAUCAGCACUGCUAUUGAAUGAAAAGUUGAAAGAACUAAUAAUUAAAAUUCACAAAAUAUAGGUAUAUAUUUAUUGAGUUGAGUUGGAAUAGUAUCGGUAGCAAAUGGGCUCUGUUGCCACCCAUUUGUUUUCGAUGAUGGCCUCCAAAUCGAUGAUCGGUAUCGUUGAAAGUGAUCUAUACCACUUGAAGUGUUCAGAAAUCAAAUUUCAUAUUUUUCCGAUAUUGUUCUCUCGUUCAUCAAAUGGGAGUAAAAAUGAACGGCUGAAAAUGAAUAUCCUUUAAAAAGUGAUGAUAGGAAUUUUGUAAUCAAGAUCGAGAGUAUAGAUCUUGUUCUAAAUAGUUUAAAGAAUUUUCUAACCAAAAUUUAAUUGAUUUGGAUAACUUUACAGCAUUAAACGAGAAACGCCUCACAUCAACUAUUAAAAUUAUAAAUUUUAAAACCCUUUGAUCAUUAGGUCAAUGAUGUCGAAAAAAUUUGAAAUUUGAUUUCUAGAUACUUCAAGUGAUAUAGAUCAUGUUCAAUUGUGCCGAUCAUCGAUUUGAAGGCUCCAUCAUUGAAAACAAAUAGGUGGCAACGGAGCCCGUUUGCUACUGAUAGUAUUCCAGCUCAACUCUAUUUAUUCGAGCUAUAUUGAGUCUAACACAG